UCGCCAUCCUAUACUGACGAACGCGCCAUCUGCUCCUCAGAUUUCUCUGCUUUCACGAAGCGGCCAUUUUAGCCCUUCUGCCACGGUUUAUCUGACCCGAAUUUUGGAUUAUCAUUCGAGUGUUUCUUCAUCUGCACUUCAGCGACUGCGAUAGUGGAACUCAGUUCUCCUUGUGGUGAAGUGCCAUGGAGUUUCGUCCAUUUCAGUGCCAUGAAGACUUUGUUUGACUUCGACACGGAUGAACCCAUCAGAUCAGAACUGAGACGUCCACGUUUGCCCUCUGCAAUAUUACUGGCCAUCGGAGAAUGGAGUGGCAACAAUCUCACCGGUGUGAUUGAGGCAUAUGAUUCGAAGGCAGACCGCUGGGUCAGUGUGACUCAAGAGAAUGAGCUUCCCAGAGCCUAUCAUGGUGCAGCGGUCCUGAAUGAGUUUGUUUACUGUGUUGGUGUUUUUUGACGGUCUUAUAAUUAAGACUUGAUCCAAAUGAGUUUCCUCCGCAGGGUGGCUGUGCGCUCCCUUAGAGAUAGGGUGAGGAGCUCAGAGUAGAGCCACUGCUCCUCCACAUCGAGAGGAGCCAGCUGAGGUGGCUCGGGCAUCCUCCUGGACGACUCCCUGGGGAGGUGUUCCGGGCAUGUCCCACCUGGAGGAGGCCCCGGGGAAGACAUAGGACACGCUGGAGGGACUAUGUCUCUCGGCUGGUCUGGGAAUGCCUCAGAAUUCCCCUGGAAGAGCUGGAGGAAGUAUCGGGGAGAGGGAAGUCUGGGCGUCUCUGCUUAGGCUGCUGACCCUGGCCCCCGGAUAAGCGGAAGAAAAUGGAUGGAUGGAUGGAAUUAAGACUUGGCAUGAGGUGGCCCUGAUGCAUGAACACUGAUGCUUUCUUAGUGUUGCUGUUCUGGACAGGCUCAUUUAUGCCACUGGUGGUUUUGAUGGACGCCAACAUCAUAAAACAGCUGAGCACUAUGAUCCAAACACCGAUCGGUGGACACUGACGGCGCCCCCGAAUGUAGUGAGGAGUAACGCCAGCGCCACCUCACUGCAGGGCAGGGUUUAUGUCUGUGGUGGUUCUACUGGGUUAGAGCUAUAACCCUGAAACAGACCAGUGGACUCUCAUCGCUCCCAUGAGAAGAUGCCGCAGGGGUGUUGCUUAUGGUGAUCUAGUGUAUGCUGGUGACCGGUGAAUAUGUCUUUGUCUCUUUUAUGAUUAUUGUGUAUGAUUGAUUUAAAUGGUCUUUGCUAAACUCUGUGAGAAGCAUUGACUGUGAUGUUUUAGGCAUAAUCUACACAUGGAAAUAUAACUUUUGUGUUACAUUAAACAGUUGAGCCUGCAAUCAUUUUUGGAGUGGUGUUAUUAACUUCUGAAAAUAAUAAUGAUGAUGAUAAUAAUAAUUAUUAUUGUUAUACAUACACACACACACACACACACACACACAAUCAUAUACAUUCUCAGUCUGAACAUUUACUAUUUAUCUCUAAAAUAAUUCUAAACAAAUUCUUAACACCAUCUAGUGUUUGAGAUACAGUGCAGUGUCACUUCCUGUAUGUUACAGUUUUUCUCAAUUCACUUUGAUUAAAUUCUCAAAUGAGACCUUUUUUCUCAAAACUAUAAGUUCAGGUCUCUGAACAAUUAGUUUCUUGUUCACAUCAGAUUUGGAUUUCUUAUUGAUUUAAGCAAUUUGCAUGUGUUAAAGUGUAAGUACAAUUGUCUACAAUUUGCACAAAAUCUAAAUGCACAUGGCUUUUUGAUCAAAACUGAUGAGUUAAUUCUCAGUGAAACUGCCAAACUCUUCACAACUUCUAAACAUUCUUUCAUUGUGUGAGCCUCCACAUGCAAAAUGAUCCAUUCAGUUAUCAAAAUCUGUCAGACAUGCAUGUAUAAUAACAUAUUUGUAAUGUUUGCUGAACUGGCAAAUGGCCUGCCAUUGUAAUGAAAUAGGAAUAACAAUUUUACCAAUCAACCAAUCAAAUUUGGAAGCAUACAGUAGGCUAUGUAAAGUUUGCCCAGCACAAUCACUGCCAUUUAUGAACAUGCAGGAACAUCUAAAUCCAUAAACAAACUAAAUUGUUUGAUCCCACUUUAUAUUAAGUGUCUUUAACUACUUUGUACAAACAUUUACUGUAAAUUAAUCAUUUGAUUUAUUGUGCACAUACUGAUACAUGUUUUUACAUUGUACUUAAAAAAUACAGCUGUAAUUACACUGUUGAACCUUCUAUCUAUCUAUCUGAGGUGUAUCCACCUCAGUAGCAGCGCAGCAGCACAAGUGUUUUGCAAUACAACAUGAGUACACUGUACUUAUUUCUUGAUGUAAGUACAUAGUUGAUAAAGACACCCAAUAUAAAGUGUGACCAAAUGUUCAUUUUCUUAUUGCGUACAGUAUUGACUUUUCCUAGUAAAUUUUUACCAGCCGAAAUCUGUAUCUAAAAAGUUCAGUGUGGAUACACUGAUACAAGUUUGUCAGUCUGUUAUCUCAAUUGUUUGCAUGCAGAAUUAAACAUUUCAGUGUAAUACAGGGCAGAAUAUGUGAUUCUGUAAAGGAGAGACUGUGUAGUUUUGUAACCAAGACAUUUUGUUUCAAAAUCUGUAGAUGUAGAUGUGUAUUUAUUUGCAAUAUGUAUCUUAAAAAAAUGAAAAACUAUUCCCACGGACGGUCGGACGGACAGAUAGAUAGAUGGACAGAUAUA
This is a long non-coding RNA of Megalobrama amblycephala (Wuchang bream), 2679 nucleotides long. RefSeq lists it as uncharacterized. The transcript is spliced from 5 exons. NCBI's taxonomy places the organism in Eukaryota, Metazoa, Chordata, Actinopteri, Cypriniformes, Xenocyprididae. The record is from RefSeq and is a predicted model, not a curated record.